AGAAACUUACCUCCUUCAGGAGUUCUCUGCUAUGUGAGUAGUUGUCCUUAUCUGAGAAUAUUUCUGACAGUUCCUCAUAUCUCCUCAUAGCCUCCCUGUCAAGUGGCAAAGAAACCACUAUAUUGUGUACUGGAGACCUGAGGUGCCACCGCUGCAAUUCCUUGGUCACCAGCAGAGGUCCAUAAAAGUCCCCAAUUACUUUCCACUGCACUACCAUACCUACUGUGUUGCAUACCCCAGUGUACUGCACAAAUUCGUACUACUAUUUUACUACUACAGAACCUUACAACCAGUUUUUAGUUUAUUUUUUGUAAUUUUUAUAAUAACUCAAAUUUAUGUUUGUACUGUUUUAUUUUCAUGUUGUCCUGACUUUCUUUUCAACCAUGGAAGGCAAUCACAAAGGAUAGCAAAUUAGGAAUUUCAUUGUGCAGUGCAAAUUGUUCUUUGUGUGUAUAGCAAUAAAGCCUUGAUUUUUAAAA
This is a long non-coding RNA of Micropterus dolomieu (smallmouth bass), 479 nucleotides long. RefSeq lists it as uncharacterized. The record is from RefSeq and is a predicted model, not a curated record. The transcript is spliced from 2 exons. NCBI's taxonomy places the organism in Eukaryota, Metazoa, Chordata, Actinopteri, Centrarchiformes, Centrarchidae.